Molecule: long non-coding RNA, 2235 nt
Filed under: Citrus x clementina
Lineage: Eukaryota; Viridiplantae; Streptophyta; Magnoliopsida; Sapindales; Rutaceae
Description: Citrus clementina (C. clementina) long non-coding RNA (CCLE_LNC006397)
Source: RNAcentral
UCCGCUGGGGGGUCUUCGUACCCCGACCUUCGGGGGCAUAUUUUUGGGCGCGGCUGUGCCCGUGGCCUAGUUUUGGUACACGGAGGCCGCCCGCAAAGUCUGGGGCCAUUUCGAGUCCGGCGGACGAACUUCGCCCACGCCCCCCACCAAGGCUAUAACCCACCCGUUUUUUGACAAUUUUUCCGCUGGGGGGUCUUCGUACCCCGACCUUCGGGGGCACAUUUUUGGGCGCGGCUGUGCCCGUGGCCUAGUUUUGGCACACGGAGGCCGCCCGCAAAGUCUGGGGCCAUUCCGAGUCCGGCGGACGAACUUCGCCCGCGCCCCCCACCAAGGCUAUAGCCCACCCGUUUUUCGGCCAUUUUUCCGCUGGGGGGUCUUGGCACCCCGACAUUGGGGGGCUAAUUUUUGGGCGCGACUGUGCCCGUGGCCUAUUUUUGGCACAAGAGGGCCGCCCGCAAUGUCUGGGGCCAUUCCGAGUCCUGCGGACGAACUUCGCCCACGCCCCCCACCAAGGCUAUAGCCCACAAGUUUUUUGGCUAUUUUUCCGCUGGGGGGUCUUGGCACCCCGACCUUCGGGGGCUAAUUUUUGGGCGCGGCUGUGCCCGUGGCCUAUUUUUGGCACACGAGGGCCGCCCGCAAAGUCUGGGGCCAUUUCGAGCCCGGCGGACGAACUUCGCCCACGCCCCCCACCAAGGCUAUAGCCCACCCGUUUUUUGGCAACUUUUCCGCUGGGGGGUCUUGGCACCCCGACCUUUGGGGGCUAAUUUUUGGGCACGGCUGUGCCCGUGGCCUAUUUUUGGCACACGAGAACCGCCCGCAAAGUCUGGGGCCAUUCCGAGUCCUGCGGACGAACUUCGCCCACGCCCCCCACCAAGGCUAUAGCCCACCCGUUUUUUGGCCAUUUUUCCGCUGGGGGGUCUUGGCACCCCGACCUUCGGGGGCUAAUUUUUGGGCGCGGCUGUGCCCGUGGCCUAUUUUUAGCACACGAGGGCCGCCCGCAAAGUCUGGGGCCAUUCCGAGUCCUGCGGACGAACAUCGCCCACGCCCCCCACCAAGGCUAUAGCCCACCCGUUUUUUGGCAACUUUUCCGCUGGGGGGUCUUGGCACCCCGACCUUCGGGGGCUAAUUUUUGGGCGCGGCUGUGCCCGUGGCCUAUUUUUGGCACACGAGGGCCGCCCGCAAAGUCUAGGGCCAUUCCGAGCCCUGCGGACGAACUUCGCCCACACCCCCCACCAAGGCUAUAGCCCACCCGUUUUUGGGCCAUUUUUCCGCUGGGGGGUCUUGGCACCCCGACCUUCGGGGGCUAAUUUUUGGGCGCGGCUGUGCCCAUGGCCUAUUUUUGGCACACGAGGGCCGCCCGCAAAGUCUGGGGCCAUUUCGAGUCCGGCGGACGAACUUCGCCGACGCCCCCCACCAAGGUUAUAGCCCACCCGUUUUUUGGCCAUUUUUCCGCUGGGGGGUCUUGGCACCCCGACCUUCGGGGGCUAAUUUUUGGGUACGGCUGUGCCCGUGGCCUAUUUUUGUCACACGAGGGCCGCCCGCAAAGUCUGGGGCAAUUCCGAGUCCUGCGGACGAACUUCGCCCACGCCCCCCACCAAGGCUAUAGCGCACCCGUUUUUUGGCCAUUUUUCCGCUGGGGGGUCUUGGCACCCCGACCUUCGGGGGCUAAUUUUUGGGCGCGGUUGCGCCCGCGGCCUAUUUUUGGCACACGGAGGCGGCUCGCAAAGUCUCGUGCCAUUCCGAGUCCGGCGGACGAAGUCGGCCAGCCCCACCCCCCAAGGCUAUAGCGCACCUGUUUUUGUGGGCUUUUUCCGCUGGACGAACUUGGCGCCCCGGCCUUCGGGAGGUUAUUUUUGGGCGCGGCUGUGUCCGCGGCCUAUUUUUGGCACACGGAGGCGCCUCGCAAAGUCUCGCACUAUUCCUAGUCCGCCGGACGAAGUUGGCCUGCCCCACCCCCCAAGGCUAUAGCCCACCCGUUUUGGUGGCCUUUUUCGGCUGGACGAACUUGGCGCCCCGGCCUUCGGGCGGUUAUUUUUAGGCACGGCUGCGCCCGCGGCCUAUUUUUGGCACACGGGGGUGCCUCGAAAAGUCUCGCGCCAUUCCGAGUCCGGCGGACGAAGUUGGCCUGCCCCACCCCCCAAGGCUAUAGCGCACCCGUUUUUGUGGGCUUUUUCCGCAAGACGAACUUGGCGCCCCGGCCUUCGGGCGGUUAUUUUUGGGCGCGGCUAUGCGAAC